CUCUCUCCUUCUCUCUCCUUCCUCUCUCCCUUCCGUUGGCUUCUCCUCCAUCUUCUUUGUGCGAAAGACCAGAAAAUUUGCAGAGGAAGAAGCCGAAGCAGCCCCUCGCCGUCCGCCUCCUUAGCCGCUCGUCGCCCGUCGCCGGAACCGCCGAAGCCAGCUCGUCGCCGGUUCUCCUUCGCCCGCUCACGCCGCUGCUCUUCCCUCGUUCGCCGUCGUCCUCGCUCGUCUUCACGUUUGGGAGGCUGUCCGACCAACCCAGGUCACGGAUCAGCCACCGUGAGCCGCCGUGCGCCCCCGCCUUAGCCCGCCAGAGCUUCGCUUUGCCUCCGCCGCCCUUGGCCGCCCGAACCGGCGCCGGAUCUGCUCCCUCUCGGCCCCGAUCAGCAACCCAGAAAAUGGGUAUGGCAGCCCAUGUUUGGCCCGUUUUGGCCGCUUCCCGGGCCCGGAUACUCGGCCCGCUUUGAGGAAAGUUGUUCUCCUCGGCGUCCUCGUCGUUUUGGUCCGCUCGGCUCGUCAUUUGAGUGAGUUUAACUCACUAAACCUCGCUUAGAGGGUUAAUUAUGCUUUAGGUGUGCUUAGUUUAUGUUAAGUGUGAUUAGGUGGUUAGUUUAAUUUAUUUAAGUAUUGAUUAUAUUAAUGUGUUUAAUUAGCUUAAAGUGUGAUUAAAUUAAGGUUAAGUGAAUGUUUACAUUAAUAUAAACCUUGAUGUGACAUAAAGGGAUUUACUUUUGAUUUAUUUAAAUAUUUCGAAAUUAUUUAAUAAUUUAAUAAUAUAUCAUUAUUCGAAAUUAUUAAAAUAUUAUUAUUUAAUUAUUUUCGGAAUAAAUUUAAUUAUUUAUUAAAUUCCGGAAAAUUUUGUCGGGACCCUAAAUUCUCAGAAUUUCGUGCCAGUCGCUGCUGUGUAGUCAGAUUUUGAAAUUGAUGAUUGGAGAUUAUAAAUUGAGUGUGGAUUGUGAAAAAUAUGGAUAUUAUUAUUUAAUUAAUUUUCGGAAUAAAUUUAAUUAUUUAAUAAUCCGAAAAAUUAUUUUGGGACCUUAAAUUCUCAGAAUUUCGUGCUGAUCACUGCUGUGCAUUUAGAAUUUGAAUUUGAUGAAUGGAUGUGGCAAUUUGAGUGUUGAUUGUGAUAAAUAUGGUUUUUAUUAAUAAAAACCCAAGUAUCGGGUUUUGAUGCAAAAAUUGGAUUUUAAUUAUUAUAUUAAAUAGUGGGGUUUGAAAAAGUGAGAUAUUGGCUUUUUGAUUCGAAAUUAGCGUGUCCCCACACACGUGAGUAAUUUAUGGAAUAUUUUUAAUAUGAAGAAAAAUGGCCGGGAUCACUAUUUUAAGUGGAAGCGUUGAGUGAAAUGCAAAGUGUCCUGGGGCCGAGUAUGAUUUGACUAUGUGAUAAUUAAGAGGAAUCGUCCUAGGCUGUUGAGCCGGACUUGCCCCUAUAUGGGAUGCCCACGCGGUGGAUGCGGGUCGCAGUAGAUUCUGGGCCCAUGCUCUUUCGGGAAUGCCGUCGACGUACUGACGAAGCCGCGCUCCAUGGGGAGAGGCGAUGCCUGGCUAUAUGCCAGUAGAUAGCCGAACUGCGAGUAGGCUAUGCCCUUGUGUGGCAGUGAAUAAUAAUUGGAAUGCGUGCUAAGUGCGAUUGUGAUUAUAUGAAAGUUAUAGCGUUCCAAUUGUUUGAGUUCCUAUUACUAUCUGUGAUUGGGUGAUUUGAAUUAUGCUAACCUGCAUGAAGGAACUGAGGCGAGGUAAGUUCUCUGUGUGAUGUGGCUAGGCCAUCUGGGGCGUAUUUUCUUUCUAAUAGGGGUUUAGGGGGUUGAACUUGCUGAGACAUCGUCUCAUCCCGGUUGUGGGAUUAAAAUUUCAGGUCCCUAGAUGGUGGUCGUGAAGGAUCCGAAGCCCUAAGUCUGGAAAGGUGGAGAUUGAAGUAUCGGUGAACGUGUCCUGCUAGUUGGUUUUAGGAUGGUUCCCCUUUUGUCGAGCUGGUCUAUUUUGUAGAUAGUUCAGAGUCGUAUUUAAACCUAUGUGUUUGUAAAUGAGUGUUUGGUAUUGUGAUUGAUUGCCUGCUUUACUAUCCC
Molecule: long non-coding RNA, 2066 nt
Filed under: Eucalyptus grandis
Lineage: Eukaryota; Viridiplantae; Streptophyta; Magnoliopsida; Myrtales; Myrtaceae
Description: long non-coding RNA (EGRA_LNC004485)
Source: RNAcentral